Molecule: ribosomal RNA, 777 nt
Filed under: Triticum aestivum (bread wheat)
Lineage: Eukaryota; Viridiplantae; Streptophyta; Magnoliopsida; Poales; Poaceae
Description: partial small subunit ribosomal RNA
Source: RNAcentral
AUGGCCCCUAAGCGAGGCGGCAAGGCGCCGGUCCCGGCGAAGAAGAAAACGGAGAAGGUGACCAACCCGCUGUUCGAGAAGAGGACGAAGCAAUUCGGCAUCGGUGGCGCCCUCCCGCCCAAGAAGGACCUCCACCGCUUCGUUAAGUGGCCCAAGGUUGUGCGCAUCCAGCGCCAGCGCCGCAUCCUCAAGCAGCGCCUCAAGGUGCCCCCGGCACUCCACCAGUUCACCCGCACCCUCGACAAGAACCUUGCAACAAACUUGUUCAAGAUGCUUCUUAAGUACCGGCCUGAAGACAAAGUUGCCAAGAAGGAGAGGCUUCUAAAGAGGGCCCAGGCUGAAGCUGAAGGUAAAACUGUUGAGGCCAAGAAGCCAAUAGUUGUGAAGUAUGGCCUUAACCAUGUUACCUACCUAAUCGAGCAGAGUAAAGCCCAGCUGGUUGUCAUAGCUCAUGAUGUUGAUCCGAUUGAGCUGGUUGUGUGGCUCCCUGCUCUUUGCAGGAAAAUGGAGGUCCCUUACUGCAUUGUCAAGGGAAAAUCUCGCCUUGGAUCGAUUGUUCACAAGAAGACUGCCUCUGUUCUGUGCCUGACCACAGUGAAGAAUGAGGAUAAGCUUGAGUUCAGCAAGAUCCUUGAGGCUAUUAAGGCGAACUUCAACGACAAAUUCGACGAGGUUAGGAAGAAGUGGGGUGGUGGUGUCAUGGGCUCCAAGUCGCAAGCGAAGACCAAGGCCAGGGAAAGGCUUAUCGCAAAGGAGGCUGCGCAGCGGAUGAACUAA